UGGCCUGUGAGGGCGUCUUCUCAGCUUUCCUCUACGUUUUGGUGUGGCUCGCUCUGUUUUGAGCCAGAUGCACAACAAAUAAUACAAAGCUUUGUAAGAGCCUGGAAAUUAUAGAGUUGAGGACACAGGAACAGUGUCUCACUGAAGAUGAAAUAUGACUGAAGGGUCUUCUAUUGCUCCAGCUUCCAGAAGUGCUAAAUGACAGUCCUCAGGUGUCAGCCCUCCCCAGAAAUUGUCCCUGGCUAAAGAGUCACCUUGUCCAUGGUCAGAGCUGCUUCCAAGAGACUCCCUAAUUAGCUCAGGCUCUGGCCCAGAGGACUGCAUGGCUGUAUUUAACCACCUGGGAAGUGGCUCUGGAAAGAUGCUGGCUCAGCGUAAGCAACUGGGUUGUAUCCUGGCUGCCUUUUGGGUGAG
Prionailurus viverrinus (fishing cat) is the source of this 414-nucleotide long non-coding RNA. RefSeq lists it as uncharacterized. Lineage: Eukaryota; Metazoa; Chordata; Mammalia; Carnivora; Felidae. The transcript has 4 exons. The record is from RefSeq and is a predicted model, not a curated record.